UUUUUAUUUAUUUAAUUUUUCCCAAUUGUCCAAAUUAGUCUGUGAUUGGCCUUAUUGUCCAAGAAAUCAUACUUAUAUACAAAUAAAUGUGACUCUCAAAUAUGAUUUAAAUGGAUCAUUCCUCACUUGAUGGCGAAUUAUCCAUUUAAAUAUUUGCUGAGUCCUAAAAUUGAUGCCAGUGAACUUAUCAGCGGUUGGUUUUAAAAAAAAGCCCCAAAAAUCCCCUAUGAGCAAGCACUUGGCGACGGUGGGGAGGAAAAACUCCCUUUUAACAGGGAGAAACCUCCGACAGAACCAGGCUCAGGAAGGGGUGGCCAUCUGUCGCUGCCGACUGGGGUUCAACUGUUCACUGUGCAUCCUCCUUCUGACAGGAGCUUCCUACAGACCAGGUAUGAAUGAUGCCUGAGUGGACAUACAAAACUCACAAGUUCCUGGCUCUCACGGCUCCUCUGCAGAGGGUUAGUCGAAGAAGGAGGGGCAUCAGGGGGCGGGGGACUGUGCCUCACUGCCCUCCCCUUCUCGAAGAAACCCGUCUUCAACCGAGCCGAGAGAGCCAGGAACUUGUGAGGUGUGCAUGUCCUGGUGAGCCUCCACCUUUUUAUAGGUGGGUGCAGCCUCGACUGUAUAGAGACAGACCAGGCCAGCUGCACCACACAGACACUUCAAACCUCAUCUGAGGACAUAAAACACACAUAUACAUAUAUAUCUAUAUUACUAUUAAAAAAAAAAUACAGUUAGGGUUCUUUUACAAUGUCAGAAGGAGGGAGGCACUAAGGCACCGCCUUCCGCCCCUGGACGCCCUCGCGGUGCCCCCCUCCUUCUGACAAGAACUUCCUACAGACCAGGUAUGAAUGAUGCCUGAGUGGACAUACAAAACUCACAAGUUCCUGGCUCCCACGGCUCCUCUGCAGCGGGUUAGUCGAAGAAGGAGGGGCAUCGCGAGGGGCGUCGGGGGGCGGGGGACUGUGCCUCACUGCCCUCCCCUUCUCGAAGAAACCCGUCUUCAACCGAGCCGAGAGAGCCAGGAACUUGUGAGGUGUGCAUGUCCUGGUGAGCCUCCACCUUUUUAUAGGUGGGUGCAGCCUCGACUGUAUAGAGACAGACCAGGCCAGCUGCACCACACAGACACUUCAAACCUCAUCUGAGGACACAAAACACACAUAUACAUAUACAUCUAUAUUACUAUUAAAAAAAACAAUACAGUUAGGGUUCUUUUACAAUGUCAGAAGGAGG
Oreochromis aureus is the source of this 1233-nucleotide long non-coding RNA. Lineage: Eukaryota; Metazoa; Chordata; Actinopteri; Cichliformes; Cichlidae. The record is from Ensembl.